AGGACAAACGCUGGCGGCGUACCUAAGACAUGCAAGUCGAACGGAGACUGCGUCUUCGGAUGCAGUCUGAGUGGCGAACGGGUGAGUAACGCGUAGGAACCCGCCUCGAUGUGGGGGAUAACACUUGGAAACAGGUGCUAAUACCGCAUGUGGUCGAGAGAAGAAAGGCUCGCAAGAGUCGCAUUGAGAGGGGCCUGCGUCCGAUUAGCUAGUUGGUGAGGUAAAGGCUUACCAAGGCGACGAUCGGUAGCUGGUCUGAGAGGAUGGUCAGCCACACUGGGACUGAGACACGGCCCAGACUCCUACGGGAGGCAGCAGUUAGGAAAUUUUGCCAA
Molecule: ribosomal RNA, 335 nt
Filed under: uncultured bacterium
Lineage: Bacteria
Description: SSU rRNA
Rfam family: Bacterial small subunit ribosomal RNA
Source: RNAcentral